CACGUAGGGGGCAAGCGUUGUUCGGAAUCACUGGGCGUAAAGCGCACGUAGGCGGCUUCUUAAGUCAGGGGUGAAAUCCUGGAGCUCAACUCCAGAACUGCCUUUGAUACUGGCAACCUAGAGACUGGAAGAGGUUAGUGGAAUUCCCAGUGUAGAGGUGAAAUUCGUAGAUAUUGGGAAGAACACCAGUGGCGAAGGCGGCUAACUGGUCCAGCACUGACGCUGAGGUGCGAAAGCGUGGGGAGCAAACAGG
This 253-nucleotide ribosomal RNA is filed under the name uncultured bacterium. Its description in RNAcentral is "partial 16S ribosomal RNA". It matches the Rfam family "Bacterial small subunit ribosomal RNA", at positions 524 to 776 of the family's 1533-position model. The record is from RNAcentral.